This 497-nucleotide ribosomal RNA is filed under the name uncultured bacterium. RNAcentral's name for it is "partial 16S ribosomal RNA". It matches the Rfam family "Bacterial small subunit ribosomal RNA", at positions 28 to 507 of the family's 1533-position model. The record is from RNAcentral.
GAUGAACGCUGGCGGCGUGCCUAAUACAUGCCAGUCGAGCGAACAGACGAGGAGCUUGCUCCUCUGACGUUAGCGGCGGACGGGUGAGUAACACGUGGAUAACCUACCUAUAAGACUGGGAUAACUUCGGGAAACCGGAGCUAAUACCGGAUAAUAUAUUGAACCGCAUGGUUCAAUAGUGAAAGACGGUUUUGCUGUCACUUAUAGAUGGAUCCGCGCCGCAUUAGCUAGUUGGUAAGGUAACGGCUUACCAAGGCAACGAUGCGUAGCCGACCUGAGAGGGUGAUCGGCCACACUGGAACUGAGACACGGUCCAGACUCCUACGGGAGGCAGCAGUAGGGAAUCUUCCGCAAUGGGCGAAAGCCUUACGGAGCAACGCCGCGUGAGUGAUGAAGGUCUUCGGAUCGUAAAACUCUGUUAUUAGGGAAGAACAAAUGUGUAAGUAACUAUGCACGUCUUGACGGUACCUAAUCAGAAAGCCACGGCUAACUACGUG